This 497-nucleotide ribosomal RNA is filed under the name uncultured bacterium. Its description in RNAcentral is "partial 16S ribosomal RNA". It matches the Rfam family "Bacterial small subunit ribosomal RNA", at positions 28 to 507 of the family's 1533-position model. The record is from RNAcentral.
GAUGAACGCUGGCGGCGUGCCUAAUACAUGCAAGUCGAGCGAACGGACGAGAAGCUUGCUUUUCUGAUGUUAGCGGCGGACGGGUGAGUAACACGUGGAUAACCUACCUAUAAGACUGGGAUAACUUCGGGAAACCGGAGCUAAUACCGGAUAAUAUUUUGAACCGCAUGGUUCAUAAGUGAAAGACGGUCUUGCUGUCACUUAUAGAUGGAUCCGCGCUGCAUUAGCUAGUUGGUAAGGUAACGGCUUACCAAGGCAACGAUGCAUAGCCGACCUGAGAGGAUGACCAGCCACACCGGAACUGAGACACGGUCCAGACUCCUACGGGAGGCAGAAGUGGGGAAUAUUGUAAAAUGGGCGCAAGCUUGAUGAAGACAUGACGAGUGUAUGAAGAAGGACUUCGGGUUGUAAAGUACUUUCAGCGGGGAGGAAGGGAGUAAAGUUAAUACCUUUGCUCAUUGACGUUACCCGCAGAAGAAGCACCGGCUAACUCCGUG